This is a non-coding RNA of Solanum tuberosum (potato), 87 nucleotides long. The record is from RefSeq and is marked provisional. NCBI's taxonomy places the organism in Eukaryota, Viridiplantae, Streptophyta, Magnoliopsida, Solanales, Solanaceae.
ACUGAUGGUAAUGUUUUAAGUUUAAAAUGUUACUGAUGUAACGUUACUGAUGGUAACGUUUUAAGUUUAAAACGUUACUGUCGGUAA